This is a long non-coding RNA of Pyrus x bretschneideri (Chinese white pear), 320 nucleotides long. RefSeq lists it as uncharacterized. NCBI's taxonomy places the organism in Eukaryota, Viridiplantae, Streptophyta, Magnoliopsida, Rosales, Rosaceae. The record is from RefSeq and is a predicted model, not a curated record. The transcript has 3 exons.
UGCAUCUUGAUGGUUGUGUAAAAACUUUACACCCUAACGUACAUGGGUGUAUUCUUGCUAGAAGAGACGAAACGCAUCACAUGGAAGCUCUUAGUAAACAUGGAAUUGGUACAAUUGAUGUGGUUGUGGUGAAUUUAUACCCCUUUUACGACAAAGUUACUUCAACGGGAGGAAUAGAUUUUGAAGACGGAAUUGAGAAUAUAGAUAUUGGUGGUCCUGCCAUGAUAAGAGCAGCUGCAAAGAAUCACAAAGAUGUCUUGGUGGUGGUUGAUUCAGAAGACUAUCCUGCACUUCUAGAAUUUCUUAAGGGAGACAAGGAA